AUUCAAUUCUAUGGGGCAACCAUGUCUUAAUCUUUGUUGUUUACUAAGAAGAAAAGAAGAAUGUGGCUAUGCAAUAGGCAUUGCACCUCCUUUCUUUGAAAAAAAAAAAAUAUGAAAUAUGCAAAAGAUGUAAACCACCAUUGGUUUUUUUGGAUACUUGUGUCCUCGUGUUAGGGAGGGAAAAAUAUUUCUGCACCGAGUACUAUAUUGUUCUGAUUAAUUGCUUUUAAGAAAUUAGCAUCUGGCCACACGAGCACCCGCCAUCUUUUAGUAAGCAGAGGACCUUUUCCUAGUGCUGAAGGGUUCUACAUUCACCUCCGCAUCUGAGAGAGUAAUAUUGCUAUGAUCUAUAACUUAUUACCUAUCUAGAUCCAACAGCAGAUUUAUGUCCGGCUGACAUUCAAUUCUUCUUCAUUUAAUCCUUCCUUCCCAAUCUUUAAUGUCUUUUUUCAUCUUAGGCUGUACCAUAUGAUUUCUUCAUUUUUUACAUUCAAACCUUUUUUCUAUAAGUUUUAAGUUAUCAUCACAUGUUUUUUAUGGCCUUUGAUGAAUCCAGACUUUUAUUUACUUGUUUUGUAGGGUGUAAUUGAAUGUAAUGAAAUGUACAACUCAACUCAACUCAA
Molecule: unclassified non-coding RNA, 623 nt
Filed under: Hevea brasiliensis (rubber tree)
Lineage: Eukaryota; Viridiplantae; Streptophyta; Magnoliopsida; Malpighiales; Euphorbiaceae
Source: RNAcentral